Molecule: long non-coding RNA, 1495 nt
Organism: Helicoverpa armigera (cotton bollworm)
Lineage: Eukaryota; Metazoa; Arthropoda; Insecta; Lepidoptera; Noctuidae
Exons: 2
Source: RefSeq, a predicted model, not a curated record
UCUAAUAUUCCACAUGAACAGUCGCUUUACAAAGCCUGACUUAUUUGCCCAGGAGUGGGAGUGAUUGAAAUAGGUUCCUUAAUUCACUUUUAACAUGAAAUUAAAAUAUUUUUGAAAUCGGUCAAAGGAGACCCGAGAAAAAAACCGAUUCAAAUGUUCUCCUCAGAUAGUCACUUAACAAAGUCUUUGGCAUUUGCCCAGUAGUGGGAGUGGUCAAAGUAGGUUCUUUACUUCACUCUUAACAUGAAAUCAAAAUAUUUUUGAAAUCAGUCCUUGGGGUCCGGAGAAAACCCGGUUCUAAUAUUCCACAUGAACAGUCGCUUUACAAAGCCUGACUUAUUUGCCCAGGAGUGGGAGUGAUUGAAGUAGGUUCCUUACUUCACUUUUAACAUGAAAUUAAAAUAUUUUAAAACGGUCAAAGGAGACCCGAGAAAAACCGAUUCAAAUGUUCUCCUCAGAUAGUCACUUAACAAAGUCUUUGGCAUUUGCCCAGUACUGGGAGUGGUCAAAGUAGGUUCUUUACUUCACUCUUAACAUGAAAUCAAAAUAUUUUUGAAAUCAGUCCUUGGGGUCCGGAGAAAACCCGGUUCUAAUAUUCCACAUGAACAGUCGCUUUACAAAGCCUGUCUUAUUUACCCAGUAGUGGGAGUGAUUGAAAUAGGUUCCUUAAUUCACUUUUAACAUGAAAUUAAAAUAUUUUUGAAAUCGGUCAAAGGAGACCCAAGAAAAAAAACCGAUUCAAAUGUUCUCCUCAGAUAGUCACUUAACAAAGUCUCUGGCAUUUGCCCAGUAGUGGGAGUGGUCAAAGUAGGUUCUUUACUUCACUCUUAACAUGAAAUCAAAAUAUUUUUGAAAUCAGUCCUUGGGGUCCGGAGAAAACCCGGUUCUAAUAUUCCACAUGAACAGUCGCUUUACAAAGCCUGACUUAUUUGCCCAGGAGUGGGAGUGAUUGAAGUAGGUUCCUUACUUCACUUUUAACAUGAAAUUAAAAUAUUUUUGAAAUCGGUCAAAGGAGACCCGAGAAAAAAACCGAUUCAAAUGUUCUCCUCAGAUAGUCACUUAACAAAGUCUUUGGCAUUUGCCCAGUAGUGGGAGUGGUCAAAGUAGGUUCUUUACUUCACUCUUAACAUGAAAUCAAAAUAUAUUUGAAAUCAGUCCUUGGGGUCCGGAGAAAACCCAGUUCUAAUAUUCCACAUGAACAGUCGCUUUACAAAGCCUGUCUUAUUUACCCAGUAGUGGGAGUGAUUGAAAUAGGUUCCUUAAUUCACUUUUAACAUGAAAUUAAAAUAUUUUUGAAAUCGGUCAAAGGAGACCCGAGAAAAAAACUGAUUCAAAUGUUCUCCUCAGAUAGUCACUUAACAAAGUCUUUGGCAUUUGCCCAGUACUGGGAGUUGUCAAAGUAGGUUCUUUACUUCACUCUUAACAUGAAAUCAAAAUAUUUUUGAAAUCAGUCCUUGGGGUCCGGAGAAAACCCGGUUCUAAUAUUCCACAUGAA